RNAcentral lists this long non-coding RNA (200 nucleotides) under Elaeis guineensis (African oil palm). RNAcentral describes it as "long non-coding RNA (EGUI_LNC054140)". Lineage: Eukaryota; Viridiplantae; Streptophyta; Magnoliopsida; Arecales; Arecaceae. The record is from RNAcentral.
GUGUUCUCUCUGAAUGAUGGAAUUAUCGUAUAUCAUAUGAUGACUCUAUUGUAGUAUCUGAUGAUGGUUGGAUUGAUCGAGCUAUCUUCAAAUCUGAUCAUUCAUUAGUUAAAAAUACUGAGUAGGUUCAUGUUAAUGGUUGACCUAAUCAAAACAUUCAAUGGAGGCCCAUCGCCUACUGAAAUAAAAUCUGAGAUAAA